UGUAAGCGUAUACCAAAGUUGUUGCAGUUAAAACGCUCGUAGUCGGAAUUUGGCAGUUCCGGAAGUGUGCACGUCGUGUGCGCACUUUGCGGGGACUGCUUUUGUGGUCUUGCGUAGGAUGAGGCACUUUCAUUAGUGAACGUCCUCACGCAACCACUCUUUACUGUGAGAAAAUCAGAGUGCUCAAAGCAGGCAUUUGCCGUGAAUGUAUUAGCAUGGAACAAUAGAAUAGGACUCGGUUCUAUUUUGUUGGUUUGUUGGGACUGAGUAAUGAUUAAGAGGGACAGUUGGGGGCAUUUGUAUUCCGGCGCUAGAGGUGAAAUUCUUAGAUUGCCGGAAGACAAACUGCUGCGAAAGCGUCUGCCAAGGAUGUUUUCAUUGA
RNAcentral lists this ribosomal RNA (382 nucleotides) under uncultured eukaryote. RNAcentral's name for it is "partial 18S ribosomal RNA". It matches the Rfam family "Eukaryotic small subunit ribosomal RNA", at positions 592 to 976 of the family's 1831-position model. The record is from RNAcentral.